AGGAAUAUUGGUCAAUGGGCGAGAGCCUGAACCAGCCAAGUAGCGUGCAGGAUGACGGCCCUAUGGGUUGUAAACUGCUUUUAUAAGGGAAUAAAGUGAGUCUCGUGAGACUUUUUGCAUGUACCUUAUGAAUAAGGACCGGCUAAUUCCGUGCCAGCAGCCGCGGUAAUACGGAAGGUCCGGGCGUUAUCCGGAUUUAUUGGGUUUAAAGGGAGCGUAGGCCGGAGAUUAAGCGUGUUGUGAAAUGUAGACGCUCAACGUCUGCACUGCAGCGCGAACUGGUUUCCUUGAGUACGCACAAAGUGGGCGGAAUUCGUGGUGUAGCGGUGAAAUGCUUAGAUAUCACGAAGAACUCCGAUUGCGAAGGCAGCUCACUGGAGCGCAACUGACGCUGAAGCUCGAAAGUGCGGGUAUCGAACAGGAUUAGAUACCCUGGUAGUCCGCACGGUAAACGAUGGAUGCCCGCUGUUGGUCUGAAUAGGUCAGCGGCCAAGCGAAAGCAUUAAGCAUCCCACCUGGGGAGUACGCCGGCAACGGUGAAACUCAAAGGAAUUGACGGGGGCCCGCACAAGCGGAGGAACAUGUGGUUUAAUUCGAUGAUACGCGAGGAACCUUACCCGGGCUUGAAUUGCAGAGGAAGGAUUUGGAGACAAUGACGCCCUUCGGGGCCUCUGUGAAGGUGCUGCAUGGUUGUCGUCAGCUCGUGCCGUGAGGUGUCGGCUUAAGUGCCAUAACGAGCGCAACCCCUCUCCUUAGUUGCCAUCAGGUUAAGCUGGGCACUCUGGGGACACUGCCACCGUAAGGUGUGAGGAAGGUGGGGAUGACGUCAAAUCAGCACGGCCCUUACGUCCGGGGCUACACACGUGUUACAAUGGCAGGUACAGAGAGACGGUCCCUUGCAAAAUGGAUCAAAUCCUUAAAGCCUGUCUCAGUUCGGACUGGGGUCUGCAACCCGACCCCACGAAGCUGGAUUCGCUAGUAAUCGCGCAUCAGCCAUGGCGCGGUGAAUACGUUCCCG
This 1018-nucleotide ribosomal RNA is filed under the name uncultured bacterium. RNAcentral describes it as "bacterial SSU rRNA". It matches the Rfam family "Bacterial small subunit ribosomal RNA", at positions 357 to 1376 of the family's 1533-position model. The record is from RNAcentral.